RNAcentral lists this long non-coding RNA (224 nucleotides) under Gossypium barbadense (sea-island cotton). Its description in RNAcentral is "long non-coding RNA (GBAR_LNC000697)". The record is from RNAcentral. Lineage: Eukaryota; Viridiplantae; Streptophyta; Magnoliopsida; Malvales; Malvaceae.
UAUUCUUAGGCUAGAUAAUAAAAAGACAGUCAUUACCAGUACUUUUAGUUCCUUUGGGUUCGGCAAUCCGGUCUUGCUAAAACUAUACUACUAUUCAAUAGGUACACUUGCCUGCAUCGUGAUAAUAGUUAGUUUCAAGAACGAUUAAUUAUAAAUAUAUAAAACUUACUUGUCACGAAAAUCGUGAUCAACUAAAUUGAGAACUUUAGAAAUCUUUGGGAAAA